This 695-nucleotide ribosomal RNA is filed under the name uncultured bacterium. RNAcentral's name for it is "bacterial SSU rRNA". It matches the Rfam family "Bacterial small subunit ribosomal RNA", at positions 51 to 754 of the family's 1533-position model. The record is from RNAcentral.
ACACACGCAAGUCGAACGAAGCACUUCAUAAAGCUUGCUUCAAGAAGUGACUUAGUGGCGGACGGGUGAGUAACGCGUGGGUAACCUGCCUUACACAGGGGGAUAACAGUUAGAAAUGACUGCUAAUACCGCAUAAAACAGCAGAGUCGCAUGACUCAACUGUCAAAGAUUUAUCGGUGUAAGAUGGACCCGCGUCUGAUUAGCUUGUUGGUGGGGUAACGGCCUACCAAGGCGACGAUCGGUAGCCGGCCUGAGAGGGUGAACGGCCACAUUGGGACUGAGACACGGCCCAAACUCCUACGGGAGGCAGCAGUGGGGAAUAUUGGACAAUGGGCGAAAGCCUGAUCCAGCGACGCCGCGUGAGCGAUGAAGUAUUUCGGUAUGUAAAGCUCUAUCAGCAGGGAAGAAAACGACGGUACCUGACUAAGAAGCCCCGGCUAACUACGUGCCAGCAGCCGCGGUAAUACGUAGGGGGCAAGCGUUAUCCGGAUUUACUGGGUGUAAAGGGAGCGUAGACGGCAUCACAAGUCAGAAGUGAAAAUCCGGGGCUCAACCCCGGAACUGCUUUUGAAACUGUGGAGCUGGAGUGCAGGAGAGGUAAGCGGAAUUCCUAGUGUAGCGGUGAAAUGCGUAGAUAUUAGGAGGAACACCAGUGGCGAAGGCGGCUUACUGGACUGUAACUGACGUUGAGGCUC